RNAcentral lists this ribosomal RNA (253 nucleotides) under uncultured prokaryote. Its description in RNAcentral is "partial 16S ribosomal RNA". It matches the Rfam family "Bacterial small subunit ribosomal RNA", at positions 524 to 776 of the family's 1533-position model. The record is from RNAcentral.
UACAGAGGGUGCAAGCGUUAAUCGGAAUUACUGGGCGUAAAGCGCGCGUAGGUGGUUUGUUAAGUUGGAUGUGAAAUCCCCGGGCUCAACCUGGGAACUGCAUUCAAAACUGACAAGCUAGAGUAUGGUAGAGGGUGGUGGAAUUUCCUGUGUAGCGGUGAAAUGCGUAGAUAUCGAGAGGAACACCUGCGGCGAAGGCGGGUUGCUGGGCUGACACUGACGCUGAAACGCGAAAGCUAGGGGAGCGAACGGG